This is an RNA transcript of Pyrus x bretschneideri (Chinese white pear), 1411 nucleotides long. It is a transcript of the gene named nifU-like protein 4, mitochondrial, with no coding region annotated. NCBI's taxonomy places the organism in Eukaryota, Viridiplantae, Streptophyta, Magnoliopsida, Rosales, Rosaceae. The transcript has 7 exons. The record is from RefSeq and is a predicted model, not a curated record.
UAGAAUCCCAAAUUGGCCCCAAAUUCCGUUAGUCUGAUACAUCUUACUGAGAAUUGUUCUUCAACUCCAUAACGAAGAGGUAGAGAGAGCUUGCGGGGAUGAGAGGGAUACGAAGAUUGCUUGGACGAAGUCUUUCGUCUCACACAAGAUGCCAACCUCCUCGGCAUCGCAAUGGCACCCAGUUCAUCUCUCGCCGAACCUAUUUCCUAUCUGCUUAUUCAGCUCCCACGACGUCGUACCUGGCUCACAACAACUCCCCCUUUUCCGAUGCAUCUCCUUUCAAUUCUCUGAAAUGGGGCCUUCUCGGCGGGCAGAAGAGAAGCAUGUUUAUCCAAACUCAAUCCACACCCAACCCUGCAUCUCUAAUGUUUUAUCCUGGGAAGCCCGUUAUGGAAGUUGGCAGUGCAGACUUCCCGAAUGCUCGUUCGGCCAUGAAUUCACCACUUGCCAAAGCCCUUUAUGGAAUUGAUGGAGUCACUCGAGUGUUUUAUGGAUCAGAUUUCGUUACUGUAACAAAAUCUGAAGAUACUUCUUGGGAUCUAUUGAAGCCUGAAAUCUUUGCUGCAAUCAUGGAUUUUUAUUCUUCUGGGCAGCCACUCUUUCUAGACGAAAAAACUGCAUCAGCAAUGGACACAGCUAUUCAAGAAGAUGAUUCAGAAAUCGUUGCAAUGAUAAAAGAAUUGUUGGAGACUCGCAUUCGACCAGCAGUGCAAGAUGAUGGUGGGGACAUUGAGUAUAGGGGAUUUGAUCCAGAAACUGGAACAGUGAAAUUGAGAAUGCAAGGAGCGUGUAGUGGCUGCCCAAGCUCAUCAGUCACCCUGAAAUCUGGAAUUGAGAAUAUGCUCAUGCACUAUGUACCUGAGGUCAAAAGUGUAGAGGAAGAGCUAGAUCCUGAUGACGAAAAUGCAGCUCUAACAGGUCAGAUGGAGUAGGAGUUUAAAAUUUUGUGCUCGAGCGGUAAAUGGUGAGCUAAAGCAGGGACUUCGGGGAGCUGUUAUUGCGUUCGGAGAUAAUUUGCGUUGCCUACUCGAUGCUAUCAUUCUGGUCCCUACUUGAGCGAUCGUUCCGGUCCCUACUUGAGAUUCUAUCGUCGUUUCCUAAUGUGCCGAGGUUGGGGUUCGGUGAUGGAGCGAAGAAGGGGUGCUGGCAGUGGUUUGAUCACGGCUGAGGGCUGGGGCAGUGCGGGAGUUUAGGGUACCUUUACAACUUUUAAACAGAAAAUUAAGACGGAAUAUGAUGGGUGCGGCAAAUUUCUCUUUUUUUGUUUCUCUAUGCAUGAAUGUUCCAUCAUUCCCGCAUCUGUUCUUGUUAAUCCACACACCAAAACACACGAGCCUCGCACGUCCUGUACCGUGCCUUGGCCUCGAGUGUGUCUUGUUAUACGAAUUACCACCCAUGACACAUUCGUUCA